RNAcentral lists this ribosomal RNA (742 nucleotides) under uncultured bacterium. Its description in RNAcentral is "bacterial SSU rRNA". It matches the Rfam family "Bacterial small subunit ribosomal RNA", at positions 8 to 796 of the family's 1533-position model. The record is from RNAcentral.
AGAGUUUGAUCAUGGCUCAGAGCGAACGCUGGCGGCAGGCCUAACACAUGCAAGUCGAACGAACUCUUCGGAGUUAGUGGCGGACGGGUGAGUAACACGUGGGAACGUGCCUUUAGGUUCGGAAUAGCUCCUGGAAACGGGUGGUAAUGCCGAAUGUGCCCUUCGGGGGAAAGAUUUAUCGCCUUUAGAGCGGCCCGCGUCUGAUUAGCUAGUUGGUGGGGUAAUGGCCCACCAAGGCUACGAUCAGUAGCUGGUCUGAGAGGAUGACCAGCCACAUUGGGACUGAGACACGGCCCAAACUCCUACGGGAGGCAGCAGUGGGGAAUCUUGCGCAAUGGGCGAAAGCCUGACGCAGCCAUGCCGCGUGUAUGAUGAAGGUCUUAGGAUUGUAAAAUACUUUCACCGGUGAAGAUAAUGACUGUAGCCGGAGAAGAAGCCCCGGCUAACUUCGUGCCAGCAGCCGCGGUAAUACGAAGGGGGCUAGCGUUGCUCGGAAUUACUGGGCGUAAAGGGAGCGUAGGCGGACAUUUAAGUCAGAGGUGAAAUCCCGGAGCUUAACUUCGGAACUGCCUUUGAUACUGGGUGUCUUGAGUGUGAGAGAGGUAUGUGGAACUCCGAGUGUAGAGGUGAAAUUCGUAGAUAUUCGGAAGAACACCAGUGGCGAAGGCGACAUACUGGCUCAUUACUGACGCUGAGGCUCGAAAGCGUGGGGAGCAAACAGGAUUAGAUACCCUGGUAGUCC